Vitis vinifera (wine grape) is the source of this 1183-nucleotide long non-coding RNA. RefSeq lists it as uncharacterized. The record is from RefSeq and is a predicted model, not a curated record. The transcript has 3 exons. NCBI's taxonomy places the organism in Eukaryota, Viridiplantae, Streptophyta, Magnoliopsida, Vitales, Vitaceae.
GUUGAUGAUUGUAUUGAUUCACCUCACCCUUGAACAGGUUGUUCUGAGCAACCUCAAAUCUAAUGUAACCACGCAAGUCAUCCUGGAAAGAUGCGCUAUGUAUCUGGAUCCUGACACAUUGGGCCAUGAUCUUAGUUCAUGUGACAUGAUGUUCAUCCCGGUUUGCGAGAAUAAUCACUAGCACGUGCAUGUUGUUAAUUUUGCAGCUGGAAGAGUUGAGAUACUUUCGUCAUUGCCCCUAAGGCGGGGCAACAACAUUAGUGCUGCAACGCGACGAUUAUCAAUGGCACUCCACAAAGCACUGCAUGCAUAUAGAAUCCAUAUGGAUGCGGAUGUCUCAAGUUUUGUGCAUGUCCAACCACACCUUCUCCAACAGCUGAAUGGGUCCGAUUGUGGUGUCCUCGUUAUAAAGUUCAUGGAAUUUUGGAAUGGGGCGACCUUAACUACUUUAGUGGCAGAGGUUAGAGUUGGUUUACACUGUCAAACUUGGACUGUUUUUCUUUGUUUUUUUCCCAACCGCAUGGAAUAAUUUUUUCCCAUUUCCGUAGGACAAGACGAACAUGUACAGACUCCAACUACUGCUGCAACUAGUGCUCAAUGAAUGCAACAGUGUCAGAGAUACAAUGAUGGCCGCAUGUCAUUUGUGACUUCAUAGUUCAUGAUAAGUUUCUUCCUAUCUGCUGCUACGUACCAAAAUGACCAAGGGUUGAUUGUAGUUUGUCCAAAAUUUAUUAAUUCAUAUCAUGUUGUGUGCUGAUGUGAUUUGUUCCAAUUGUAAAACCAUUAUUUAUGUUCUAUAUGUGAUGUAUCUGAUGAAGUAUUCCACAUCCCAUUGUAAAGUGGCAGUUGGGUUAUGCUGAAUAUGAGGACUUUAUGUACAAGAAUGGCCAACAUGUAAGGGAAAGGAAGAGUACCUGGUGAUGCUGCUGCUGGAGCAUAUGGGAUGCAGUAACAGCAGUGUAAUAGGGCUGUUCAUUUUUCCUUCAAUAUUGUAAAGGAAGGGAGUAGGAACAUGGACAACACUCAGUAUUUGUUCUUUUAUUAUAGUUAAGGGUGUUGGUAAGUGUUGUAUUGGCGACUGAUUGGACAACAACUGUGAUUGUAAGAUGUGAUCCAAAGUGAUAGGUUUAUUAUGGGGUAUGGUACUAAUUUCAUAAGAGAACAACAAACAUAGACUGGAACC